Molecule: ribosomal RNA, 253 nt
Filed under: uncultured bacterium
Lineage: Bacteria
Description: partial 16S ribosomal RNA
Rfam family: Bacterial small subunit ribosomal RNA
Source: RNAcentral
CACGUAGGGCGCGAGCGUUGUCCGGAAUUAUUGGGCGUAAAGAGCUCGUAGGCGGCUUGUCACGUCGGCUGUGAAAACCCGGGGCUCAACCCCGGGCCUGCAGUCGAUACGGGCAAGCUAGAGUUCGGCAGGGGAGACUGGAAUUUCCGGUGUAGCGGUGAAAUGCGUAGAUAUCGGAAGGAACAUCAGUGGCGAAAGCGGCUUCCUGGACCAGUACCGACGUUCAGGCACGAAAGCGUGGGGAGCAAACAGG